RNAcentral lists this ribosomal RNA (254 nucleotides) under uncultured bacterium. RNAcentral describes it as "partial 16S ribosomal RNA". It matches the Rfam family "Bacterial small subunit ribosomal RNA", at positions 524 to 776 of the family's 1533-position model. The record is from RNAcentral.
UACGGAGGGGGCUAGCGUUGUUCGGAAUUACUGGGCGUAAAGGGCGCGUAGGCGGCCCUCCUAGUCGCGUGUGAAAGCCCCGGGCUCAACCUGGGAACGGCGCGCGAAACGGGGGGGCUGGAGUUCGGGAGAGGAGCGUGGAAUUCCCAGUGUAGAGGUGAAAUUCGUAGAUAUUGGGAAGAACACCGGUGGCGAAGGCGGCGCUCUGGACCGAGACUGACGCUGAGGCGCGGAAAGCGUGGGGAGCAAACAGG